GAUCUGGCUCAGGAUGAACGCUAGCUACAGGCUUAACACAUGCAAGUCGAGGGGCAGCAUGGUCUUAGCUUGCUAAGACUGAUGGCGACCGGCGCACGGGUGAGUAACACGUAUCCAACCUGCCGUCUACUCUUGGACAGCCUUCUGAAAGGAAGAUUAAUACAAGAUGGCAUCAUGAGUCCGCAUGUUCACAUAAUUAAAGGUAUUCCGGUAGACGAUGGGGA
This 224-nucleotide ribosomal RNA is filed under the name uncultured bacterium. RNAcentral's name for it is "partial 16S ribosomal RNA". It matches the Rfam family "Bacterial small subunit ribosomal RNA", at positions 15 to 231 of the family's 1533-position model. The record is from RNAcentral.